This 2923-nucleotide ribosomal RNA is filed under the name Klebsiella pneumoniae CG43. RNAcentral's name for it is "bacterial LSU rRNA". It matches the Rfam family "Bacterial large subunit ribosomal RNA". The record is from RNAcentral. Lineage: Bacteria; Pseudomonadati; Pseudomonadota; Gammaproteobacteria; Enterobacterales; Enterobacteriaceae.
GGGUUGUGAGGUUAAGCGACUAAGCGUACACGGUGGAUGCCCUGGCAGUCAGAGGCGAUGAAGGACGUGCUAAUCUGCGAAAAGCGUCGGUAAGGUGAUAUGAACCGUUAUAACCGGCGAUGUCCGAAUGGGGAAACCCAGUGCAAUUCGUUGCACUAUCGUUAACUGAAUACAUAGGUUAACGAGGCGAACCGGGGGAACUGAAACAUCUAAGUACCCCGAGGAAAAGAAAUCAACCGAGAUUCCCCCAGUAGCGGCGAGCGAACGGGGAGCAGCCCAGAGUCUGAAUCAGCUUGUGUGUUAGUGGAACGGUCUGGAAAGUCCGACGGUACAGGGUGAUAGUCCCGUACACCAAAAUGCACAGGCUGUGAACUCGAAGAGUAGGGCGGGACACGUGGUAUCCUGUCUGAAUAUGGGGGGACCAUCCUCCAAGGCUAAAUACUCCUGACUGACCGAUAGUGAACCAGUACCGUGAGGGAAAGGCGAAAAGAACCCCGGCGAGGGGAGUGAAAAAGAACCUGAAACCGUGUACGUACAAGCAGUGGGAGCACCUUCGGGUGUGACUGCGUACCUUUUGUAUAAUGGGUCAGCGACUUAUAUUCUGUAGCAAGGUUAACCGUAUAGGGGAGCCGCAGGGAAACCGAGUCUUAACUGGGCGUUAAGUUGCAGGGUAUAGACCCGAAACCCGGUGAUCUAGCCAUGGGCAGGUUGAAGGUUGGGUAACACUAACUGGAGGACCGAACCGACUAAUGUUGAAAAAUUAGCGGAUGACUUGUGGCUGGGGGUGAAAGGCCAAUCAAACCGGGAGAUAGCUGGUUCUCCCCGAAAGCUAUUUAGGUAGCGCCUCGUGAACUCAUCUUCGGGGGUAGAGCACUGUUUCGGCUAGGGGGUCAUCCCGACUUACCAACCCGAUGCAAACUACGAAUACCGAAGAAUGUUAUCACGGGAGACACACGGCGGGUGCUAACGUCCGUCGUGAAGAGGGAAACAACCCAGACCGCCAGCUAAGGUCCCAAAGUCAUGGUUAAGUGGGAAACGAUGUGGGAAGGCACAGACAGCCAGGAUGUUGGCUUAGAAGCAGCCAUCAUUUAAAGAAAGCGUAAUAGCUCACUGGUCGAGUCGGCCUGCGCGGAAGAUGUAACGGGGCUAAACCAUGCACCGAAGCUGCGGCAGCGACACUAUGUGUUGUUGGGUAGGGGAGCGUUCUGUAAGCCUGCGAAGGUGACCUGUGAGGGUUGCUGGAGGUAUCAGAAGUGCGAAUGCUGACAUAAGUAACGAUAAAGCGGGUGAAAAGCCCGCUCGCCGGAAGACCAAGGGUUCCUGUCCAACGUUAAUCGGGGCAGGGUGAGUCGACCCCUAAGGCGAGGCCGAAAGGCGUAGUCGAUGGGAAACAGGUUAAUAUUCCUGUACUUGGUGUUACUGCGAAGGGGGGACGGAGAAGGCUAUGUUAGCCGGGCGACGGUUGUCCCGGUUUAAGCAUGUAGGCUGGUUAUCCAGGCAAAUCCGGAUAAUCAAGGCUGAGGUGUGAUGACGAGGCACUACGGUGCUGAAGUAACAAAUGCCCUGCUUCCAGGAAAAGCCUCUAAGCAUCAGGUAACAUUAAAUCGUACCCCAAACCGACACAGGUGGUCAGGUAGAGAAUACCAAGGCGCUUGAGAGAACUCGGGUGAAGGAACUAGGCAAAAUGGUGCCGUAACUUCGGGAGAAGGCACGCUGGUGUGUAGGUGAAGCCCCUGCGGGUGGAGCUGAGACCAGUCGAAGAUACCAGCUGGCUGCAACUGUUUAUUAAAAACACAGCACUGUGCAAACACGAAAGUGGACGUAUACGGUGUGACGCCUGCCCGGUGCCGGAAGGUUAAUUGAUGGGGUUAUCCGUAAGGAGAAGCUCUUGAUCGAAGCCCCGGUAAACGGCGGCCGUAACUAUAACGGUCCUAAGGUAGCGAAAUUCCUUGUCGGGUAAGUUCCGACCUGCACGAAUGGCGUAAUGAUGGCCAGGCUGUCUCCACCCGAGACUCAGUGAAAUUGAACUCGCUGUGAAGAUGCAGUGUACCCGCGGCAAGACGGAAAGACCCCGUGAACCUUUACUAUAGCUUGACACUGAACAUUGAGCCUUGAUGUGUAGGAUAGGUGGGAGGCUUUGAAGCGUGGACGCCAGUCUGCGUGGAGCCAACCUUGAAAUACCACCCUUUAAUGUUUGAUGUUCUAACGUUGGCCCCUUACCGGGGUUGCGGACAGUGUCUGGUGGGUAGUUUGACUGGGGCGGUCUCCUCCCAAAGCGUAACGGAGGAGCACGAAGGUUAGCUAAUCCUGGUCGGACAUCAGGAGGUUAGUGCAAUGGCAUAAGCUAGCUUGACUGCGAGCGUGACGGCGCGAGCAGGUGCGAAAGCAGGUCAUAGUGAUCCGGUGGUUCUGAAUGGAAGGGCCAUCGCUCAACGGAUAAAAGGUACUCCGGGGAUAACAGGCUGAUACCGCCCAAGAGUUCAUAUCGACGGCGGUGUUUGGCACCUCGAUGUCGGCUCAUCACAUCCUGGGGCUGAAGUAGGUCCCAAGGGUAUGGCUGUUCGCCAUUUAAAGUGGUACGCGAGCUGGGUUUAGAACGUCGUGAGACAGUUCGGUCCCUAUCUGCCGUGGGCGCUGGAGAAUUGAGGGGGGCUGCUCCUAGUACGAGAGGACCGGAGUGGACGCAUCACUGGUGUUCGGGUUGUCAUGCCAAUGGCACUGCCCGGUAGCUAAAUGCGGAAGAGAUAAGUGCUGAAAGCAUCUAAGCACGAAACUUGCCCCGAGAUGAGUUCUCCCUGAGACUUUAAGUCUCCUGAAGGAACGUUAAAGACGAUGACGUUGAUAGGCCGGGUGUGUAAGCGCAGCGAUGCGUUGAGCUAACCGGUACUAAUGAACCGUGAGGCUUAACCUUACAACGCCGAAG